AUAAGCUGAUUGGUUCAUCCGCGUCAUCUAUUCCCGCGCGCAAUGCAUCGGUGCGUCCGGUAACCACAGCUCGUUGUCGGGACGAUUCGCGAGCGUGUCGAGAUGCCGGUGCUCCUUUCUCGAAAGGCGGGUGAUGCCGAUUUUGCCCGGAGAUCGAAGGGACGAACGUAGGUGAGGCGUGUAACGAUUCUCGUCUUCGUCGAUUUAAGUGAAUCUCGGUCGAAUAGCUUCACCGGCUUCGUGACGCGCGACUUUCCUUUCUUCUCCUCCUCCUUCCCUUCUGCCUUUUCCCCCUCGCCCGCGGCGUGUGGAGUGACGACCGAAAGUGACGAGAAAGAACGCGGCAAUAUCGUUAAUAAUACGUUUACGACUUCUUUGAGAUCACGACGUUCUAAACGCGUUGCACGUAUGACGUGAAAACUUGGAUCGCACGUUCUCGAACGGUCCAUCGUGUCUUGAUCAGUGGUGGUCUAAUUGGCGCCAAACGUACGGAGUGAAGUUGCCGGUAGCGACGCUGUACUUUCGUACUUGUCGACCAUUACGGAAACGUUACUGUGUCGAUUACCCGGAUCGGUAGCUUCGUGUGGUCAGUUACAAUCGUAAUUGACCUUGUCCAUUUCGUACGUCGGAAUCACCUGCCAUCGUUCGCGUCUCGUCUCGUCCCGAAACGUAUGUUGGUGUAUGUGUGUGUGUGUCGCUCGACAAACGUGUGCGGACGCUGUGCGAAUCGCGGUGAAUCGUUCUGUCGUUACUUCGUUUUUUUGUCUCUUCUCGCGUUGUUCACUUUUGUUGUGAUUUAAGUACGUCGUCAAUACCGGGAGUGACGCCAAGUGACGCGCGAUCGUCUUGCAAUUAGCGCGAGUGUCAAUCAUGCGCGGCAACGCGUCCGUGGAAAAGAGGUUAAGUACUUCCGCGAGUGUAAGGUGACAUCGAGGGUAUCCGAGAGAUGGAGGAGGAGGAGGCCUGGGAAAGGCAUCGGGCGACAGCGGAGCAACCCUGAGGCCAAUGUAGUUAAAACUCUGCUGUUACGUGUCGUAUCGGCCAAUGUAGUUAAAACUCUGCUGUUGCGCGUCGUAUCGGUGAGUCACAAAUUGCUUUUUUAUUUAAAUAAUAAUAGAGGAAUACAAGAUAAAAGUACAAAUAAACAUUUUGUACACUUAUAGUGUACAAUUACCAUUAUUCAAAGAAGCAUUUAUUUUAAUCUAGCAUUUUUUUUCUCAGUGCAUAAUAAACACAAUAAUACGUUUCGCAUUCUAUCUUUAAUUUUUUACUUGAUUUUUUGUUUAUAAUUGCAUUGUUCUUACUGACAUUCAUACCACGAACUCUAUAUAUUCUAUCACUUGAUAACUUAUUUUUAUUUUGAUACAACUAACAAAGUGAAGAUUUUCUUACAUUAUAUAUUUUUUUCCAUCAAUAUUUACAUCUAAAAAUAAACCUUUAUUAUUUUCCGUAUAAUUAGUCGUAUAAUCUCUUAAAUUUAAUUCUAUUUGAUUUUUAAAUAUUAAAAUCAGUUUGUGGUUCUUUGAAAUCUUCCUUGAAAUCUUCAUUAAAUUCAAUAUUAUUAUUUGGUAUUCUUUUAAUAAAUUAUAUAGCAGAGAAAUUAGCGCGUUAUUGUAGCAGCGUGUUAGCUGUGCGCCUGCAAGUGAAAAUCGAUACCCUUCUAUGGGAAGCCAAAGAAACCAGUAUUUGAAGGAAAACGAUUUUGUAUUGUACCCACGUUGUAACGUUUGCAAUGCGGCACGCGCCACCCCUGCCACGUGCCAGCCAAUCUAAAUCUAAUAACACAAACAGCCUCACAAUACAUGCAUCAUAUAUGCCAGGGUUUGGCGGUAGGAUGUAAUGGGACACCAUGUGAACUAAUCGCUCUGGAGUGGUCCUUCAGAUCUUGUUUCGCUAUUUGUUGAUCCCGACCUAUUCUCUCUUUUUCUCUCGGGACAAAUAGGUUCCCAGCUGAGUUUGACGAUCAACAUAUUAUGCAAAAUAAUUUCUGUUUUCUUUUUCACAAUUACAUUGUACGACACAUUAAUUUUUUUAAAUAUUUGAUAUAUACAUAUUAAUAUAGGAAAUACAACA
Molecule: long non-coding RNA, 2073 nt
Organism: Monomorium pharaonis (pharaoh ant)
Lineage: Eukaryota; Metazoa; Arthropoda; Insecta; Hymenoptera; Formicidae
Exons: 3
Source: RefSeq, a predicted model, not a curated record